AGCAUAUCAUAAGCGGAGGGAAAAAGAAACUAACAAGGGAUUUCCCCUAGUAACUGCGAGUGAAGCGGGAAAAGCUCAAAUUUAAAAUCUGGCAGUCUUUGGCUGUCCGAGUUGUAGUCUGGAGAAGUGUUUUCCGCGCUGGACCGUGUACAAGUCUCUUGGAAUAGAGCGUCAUAGAGGGUGAGAAUCCCGUCUUUGACACGGACCGCCAGUGCUUUGUGAUGCGCUCUCAAAGAGUCGAGUUGUUUGGGAAUGCAGCUCAAAAUGGGUGGUAAAUUCCAUCUAAAGCUAAAUAUUGGCGAGAGACCGAUAGCGAACAAGUACCGUGAGGGAAAGAUGAAAAGCACUUUGGAAAGAGAGUUAAACAGUACGUGAAAUUGCUGAAAGGGAAACGCUUGAAGUCAGUCGCGUUGUCCAGAACUCAGCCUGGCUUUUGCUUGGUGCAUUUUCUGGAUAACGGGCCAGCAUCAAUUUUGAUCGUUGGAUAAAGGUCUUGGGAAUGUGGCACCUUCGGGUGUGUUAUAGCCCUUGAUUGCAUACAACGAUUGGGAUUGAGGAUCUCAGCAUGCCUUUAUGGUCGGGGUUCGCCCACGUUCAUGCUUAGGAUGCUGGCGUAAUGGCUUUAAUCGACCCGUCUUGAAACACGGACCAAGGAGUCUAACAUGCCUGCGAGUAUUUGGGUGGUAAACCCGAGUGCGCAAUGAAAGUGAAAGUUGGGAUCUCUGUCGCGGAGAGCACCGACGCCCGGACCAGACCUUUUGUGACGGUUCCGCGGUGGAGCAUGUAUGUUGGGACCCGAAAGAUGGUGAACUAUGCCUGAAUAGGGUGAAGCCAGAGGAAACUCUGGUGGAGGCUCGUAGCGAUUCUGACGUGCAAAUCGAUCGUCAAAUUGGGUAUAGGGGCGAAAGACUAAUCGAACCAUCUAGUAGCUGGCUCCUGCGA
Molecule: ribosomal RNA, 942 nt
Filed under: Climacocystis borealis
Lineage: Eukaryota; Fungi; Basidiomycota; Agaricomycetes; Polyporales; Climacocystaceae
Description: LSU rRNA
Rfam family: Eukaryotic large subunit ribosomal RNA
Source: RNAcentral